UUUGAAGUAACAACUUAGUAUCAAUUAAUUGCUGUAUAAGAACAAAUAAUAUUAUUUCAGAGAUAUGAUGCUUUAUGCACUUCUGUGAGAAAUGGUAUAGAAGGUGAAAGAUAUUUAGAAUGAAUGAUAACUGAACGAACUAAAAUAGUAAUUCAUAUGUUCUAUGUAAAACAUCGGGAGGAAGAUUUUCGUAUAUACUGUUACUGUUAUGUUUGUUUUAUGCUGUGAGACUACACGUUACGUGUUGUAUAUGAAAUUGCUAUGCAUUGUUGUGUGAGGACAUUGGUACUUCAUUGGGGAAUAAUUCUUCGCAGUAUGAUAAAAGAAAAUGACAUUCCACUGAAUAGUUGGAAAGUAAAUCUGGGCAAUUCACAUCUUUCAG
This is a long non-coding RNA of Ooceraea biroi (clonal raider ant), 382 nucleotides long. RefSeq lists it as uncharacterized. The record is from RefSeq and is a predicted model, not a curated record. NCBI's taxonomy places the organism in Eukaryota, Metazoa, Arthropoda, Insecta, Hymenoptera, Formicidae.